RNAcentral lists this long non-coding RNA (597 nucleotides) under Sinocyclocheilus grahami. RNAcentral describes it as "lncRNA (ENSSGRG00000032684.1)". Lineage: Eukaryota; Metazoa; Chordata; Actinopteri; Cypriniformes; Cyprinidae. The record is from RNAcentral.
UGCUGAUGUCUGAUAUCUCUAGAGCUUUGAAGAUGGCGAGCUCCCUCAGAAGGGUGCAGAUCUGUUCAGAGCAGGAGACGAGGAAUAUACGCCGGUAACGUCAUCCUUUCAUCUUCAUGCUUCUGAUGUGGUUCACACGGACACAUUUAACGCUGGUUAUCCUCUCACGCAGGACAAUAAACCACAGACAUCUAGAGAGACUGACACGCAUCGCAGAGGGUCAAAGACUCAAGACAUAAAGGAGUUUCCUCAAGACUUUCCAGGAGCCGUGUCUGGAGGCUUCCACCUGUCUGAUGCUGCUGAGGCUGAGUGGCUGUCGGCUCAGAUGGACAUGAGACGACUGAAAGAUGCAGAGGAAGAGCAGAAGCAGGAGGAAGAGGAGGAUGAAGGGGACACUGACAGUCUGAUGGAGUGGUGGAAUACAGUGGAGUGUGAGUUCAUUCAUUCAUUCAUUCAUUCAUUCAUUCAUUCAUUCAUUCAUUCAUUCAUUCAUUCAGCACACACACAUCAGAUCUGAGUCGUUUAACAUCCAGUCUUUGUGUUUUCAGUUUGGGAUGAAAUGCCUGCUAAUGAGACGAUCAGCACUAAAGAAGAAGA